AACCAGCCAAGUAGCGUGCAGGAUGACGGCCCUCUGGGUUGUAAACUGCUUUUAGUUGGGAAUAAAAAUUGAGGACGUGUCCUCUAUUGUAUGUACCUUCAUUAAAAAGGACCGGCUAAUUCCGUGCCAGCAGCCGCGGUAAUACGGAAGGUCCAGGCGUUAUCCGGAUUUAUUGGGUUUAAAGGGAGCGUAGGCGGAUUAUUAAGUCAGUGGUGAAAGACGGUGGCUCAACCAUCGUUAGCCAUUGAAACUGGUAGUCUUGAGUGCAGACAGGGAUGCUGGAACUCGUGGUGUAGCGGUGAAAUGCUUAGAUAUCACGAUGAACUCCGAUCGCGAAGGCAGGUGUCCGGGCUGCAACUGACGCUGAGGCUCGAAAGUGUGGGUAUCAAACAGGAUUAGAUACCCUGGUAGUCCACACAGUAAACGAUGUAUACUCGCGGUUUGCGAUAGACAGUAAGCCGCCAAGCGAAAGCAUUAAGUAUACCACCUGGGGAGUACGCCGGAAACGGUGAAACUCAAAGGAAUUGACGGGGGCCCGCACAAGCGGAGGAACAUGUGGUUUAAUUCGAUGAUACGCGAGGAACCUUACCGGGCUUGAACUAACAGUGACA
This 611-nucleotide ribosomal RNA is filed under the name uncultured bacterium. RNAcentral's name for it is "bacterial SSU rRNA". It matches the Rfam family "Bacterial small subunit ribosomal RNA", at positions 386 to 996 of the family's 1533-position model. The record is from RNAcentral.